GUCAGAGAGGUUCAGUGUGGGUAUUGAAUUACAAUGUUGUUACUAUUUUUGAAAGGAAAAUGCUGGCUGAAAACACGAAACUUUUUUUUUUCCUCCCCCUUUUGCACAGGAUUAUUCCAGCAACUCCUGAAAUGCAAAACCUUCUGUGGCAAGAGAGAAAAGGCAGUCUUGUGACUACAGCUCUGACCUAAAGGACACGCUCUCUCCAAGUAUGAUUUCAUUCAGGUAGUGAGACCAAGAGCUUCAUUAAAAAACAGAAAGAUUGGCCCUAGGCAGACAGUACAGCUUGUCCUCCGAUGCUCAUGUUUGGACAUUGCUUUAGCAAUGACUCAGAGUUCCAGCUAUUGUUUCAUUAACACCAGUUCCUGCCGGGCUGGGGGUUUCCCCUCUCUUCUCUUUCCCAAAUUAUCAGCCAGACCCAUCCCUCUUCAGUUCAUAAAAUCCAACAGGAGGCCCCAUAUUGGGCUGGGAUGGUUACAAUAUGAUAAUUAUGCAAUUCCAGUGUUGCAGCUACACUGCAGGAGAAAUUAUGGCUAUUCAUCAUCAUCUGGACCCAAAGGAGGCAUCAGUGAGAGGAACAGUCAUUGCAAUACAGUGCAGAUGA
Molecule: long non-coding RNA, 604 nt
Organism: Oxyura jamaicensis (ruddy duck)
Lineage: Eukaryota; Metazoa; Chordata; Aves; Anseriformes; Anatidae
Exons: 3
Source: RefSeq, a predicted model, not a curated record